RNAcentral lists this ribosomal RNA (253 nucleotides) under uncultured bacterium. RNAcentral's name for it is "partial 16S ribosomal RNA". It matches the Rfam family "Bacterial small subunit ribosomal RNA", at positions 524 to 776 of the family's 1533-position model. The record is from RNAcentral.
UACGUAGGGGGCAAGCGUUGUCCGGAUUUAUUGGGCGUAAAGAGCGUGUAGGCGGCUUGGAAGGUCAGCUGUGAAAACUCGAGGCUCAACCUCGAGACGUCGGUUGAAACCACCUGGCUAGAGUCCGGAAGCGGAGAGUGGAAUUCCUGGUGUAGCGGUGAAAUGCGCAGAUAUCAGGAAGAACACCAAUGGCGAAGGCAGCACUCUGGGACGGUACUGACACUGAGACGCGAAAGCGUGGGGAGCGAACAGG